Molecule: non-coding RNA, 206 nt
Organism: Oryza glumipatula
Lineage: Eukaryota; Viridiplantae; Streptophyta; Magnoliopsida; Poales; Poaceae
Source: Rfam
AAAAAAAACAAACCCUAGUUUCCGUGUCCAACGUUUGACUGUCCGUCUUGUUUGAAAAAAUUAUGAAAAAAAUUAAAAAGAUAAGUCACGCAUAAAAUAUUAAUCAUAUUUUAUCAUCUAACAACAAUGAAAAUACGAAUUAUAAAAAAAUUUCAUAUAAGACAGACAGUCAAAGUUGAGGCCUGUUCACUUUGAUGACAUUUUCA